Long non-coding RNA from Pelmatolapia mariae (spotted tilapia), 841 nucleotides. RefSeq lists it as uncharacterized. The transcript is spliced from 3 exons. Lineage: Eukaryota; Metazoa; Chordata; Actinopteri; Cichliformes; Cichlidae. The record is from RefSeq and is a predicted model, not a curated record.
AAUUUAAUAAACUGCAGUUCAAAAUCCAUUUCCCUUUCCUGUUCGCUCCGGGAUUAGCUGCUGGAUUAGCUCCUGGAUUAGCUGCUGGAUUAGCUCUUCGAUUAACAACUUGCUGGAGGCUAUUCAAAUUAGCCACACCGUGGGAUGUAAGGAGCUCUCUGAUUGGUUGGUCAGACACAGGCUGUCUGCCAGCCUGGAUUUUUCUAGCUCAUAGCUUCGCCCUGCUAAGAAGCCUGUGUGCUUGUACAAAGGCCGUUCAGCCUCGGGAUUUACACUCGGCUCGACACGGAUAUGUGAAGAAUGAAGGGACCCUGCAGCGAAACGGAGAGCGCAACCUCUGACUGAGUGCCUGUUUACGCAGUCUGACCACCUGUUGAAGGGCUGUUUGAUGACGAUUUGGACUCCUCCGGGAGAUGAGGACACACCCACAUCUGUUCCAUACUGCAGCCAUGGAUGGUGUUACGGCUCUGAGUCAGCUUUAGGCCAUCAGACGCACACACUGGAAAACCAGCACCUGGACUUCAUGCAGGAGAGACGGCCUCAGUGAUAAUUCAUCAGCAGCUGUGAAGAGAUGCAUUUGAAUAUCUUCUGGUUCCACUUUUCCUAACCUGGAAGCUGAGGAUGGCUGAUUCCUGACAAGGGCACACACCUCAGCCCUAUCAUGGGUGUUACAUCCUCCGUGCAGCAAUUCCAGAGAAAACGAGAGAGCAACGACCACUCAUUAAGACCAGACAGAAAUCUGUCCCUUUCUGGCAGCUGUGGAAACUUCCAAUAAGAAAGUUUGCAUUCUUAGAACAAUGCUGGGUCGUGUGUGAUGUGUCAUCAUAUGAGGAUAUUACAU